UGAGGGGGGCUGCUCCUAGUACGAGAGGACCGGAGUGGACGCAUCACUGGUGUUCGGGUUGUCAUGCCAAUGGCACUGCCCGGUAGCUAAAUGCGGAAGAGAUAAGUGCUGAAAGCAUCUAAGCACGAAACUUGCCCCGAGAUGAGUUCUCCCUGACUCCUUGAGAGUCCUGAAGGAACGUUGAAGACGACGACGUUGAUAGACCGGGUGUGUAAGCGCAGCGAUGCGUUGAGCUAACCGGUACUAAUGAACCGUGAGGCUUAACCUUACAACGCCGAAGGUGUUU
RNAcentral lists this ribosomal RNA (286 nucleotides) under Escherichia coli. RNAcentral describes it as "partial 23S ribosomal RNA". It matches the Rfam family "Bacterial large subunit ribosomal RNA", at positions 2663 to 2925 of the family's 2925-position model. The record is from RNAcentral. Lineage: Bacteria; Pseudomonadati; Pseudomonadota; Gammaproteobacteria; Enterobacterales; Enterobacteriaceae.